UNGGCUUGGAGCUCAGGUCCUCAUGCUUGC
Molecule: non-coding RNA, 30 nt
Filed under: Mus musculus (house mouse)
Lineage: Eukaryota; Metazoa; Chordata; Mammalia; Rodentia; Muridae
Source: RNAcentral